UACGUAGGGGGCUGGCGUUGUCCGGAAUCAUUGGGCGUAAAGAGCGUGUAGGCGGCCCGGUAAGUCCGCUGUGAAAGUCGGGGGCUCAACCCUCGAAUGCCGGUGGAUACUGUCGGGCUAGAGUGCGGAAGAGGCGAGUGGAAUUCCUGGUGUAGCGGUGAAAUGCGCAGAUAUCAGGAGGAACACCGAUUGCGAAGGCAGCUCGCUGGGACGUCACUGACGCUGAGACGCGAAAGCGUGGGGAGCAAACAGG
RNAcentral lists this ribosomal RNA (253 nucleotides) under uncultured bacterium. Its description in RNAcentral is "partial 16S ribosomal RNA". It matches the Rfam family "Bacterial small subunit ribosomal RNA", at positions 524 to 776 of the family's 1533-position model. The record is from RNAcentral.